GCUGGUCGCGACGUUUGGUUGGGGGUGGCCACGACGGCUACCGCCGCUCUUCAUUGCCUCUCGGCGCCGCCGGCUGCAACUCCGCAACGUUGGUGCCGCUGUUCACUACCUCUAGGUAGUAAAAGAAAAGAACCUUCGUCGGGGUUAAAAACGACGUCUGCGGGAACUAAAAACGACCUUGGUCAUGUACUGCGACGUUCAACUGUUACCGCCGCUCGGCCUCUGCCCCUGCGGUCCCUACGAGGUUGGUACUACUGUCGCGCGACCUUAGGAGGACACAAACUCAACGUUGGUACUGCUCGUCUCCGUCGGUUCCGUUCACAGUCUGUGCUGGCAGUCCGUUCGCCGUCCGCUCGCGCCCACUGCCCGCACCACCGCGCCACCUUUCGUUCGUGCCCUUCUGCUCCUGAUAGCGCUCGCCGGCCGCUCGUGUGUCUAGACCGUACGCGCGAGCGACAGGAAAAAAAACACAAAGGACACGCACAAA
Molecule: ribosomal RNA, 487 nt
Filed under: Triticum aestivum (bread wheat)
Lineage: Eukaryota; Viridiplantae; Streptophyta; Magnoliopsida; Poales; Poaceae
Description: partial small subunit ribosomal RNA
Source: RNAcentral